AGAGAGAGAGAGAGGAAGGGAGGAGGGAGGCACAAAGAAAUGGGGGAAAAAGAAAAGAAGAUGAAGAAAGCUGGAUCAAACAUAGAGCAGCGCUACAUGGCAAAACUUUCGCAGUGUUGUAAACAAGUAUUUGGAAGCUCAUAGUUAUGAGAAAAAUGCAAGUGUUUCAACUUCAUUUUUUUUUUACUCUCCUCAAGUAUGUGAUGUAGAAAAAAAUAAGGUAUUGGGGGAUUUAAGGUGAGAAACAAAUUCUUAAAUUGAAGAGAAACUAAUUCUCA
RNAcentral lists this unclassified non-coding RNA (278 nucleotides) under Hevea brasiliensis (rubber tree). The record is from RNAcentral. Lineage: Eukaryota; Viridiplantae; Streptophyta; Magnoliopsida; Malpighiales; Euphorbiaceae.